GAUGAACGCUAGCGGCAGGCUUAACACAUGCAAGUCGAGGGGCAGCGCGGUAGCAAUACUGGCGGCGACCGGCAAACGGGUGCGGAACACGUACGCAAUUUACCCCUGUCUGGGAGAUAGCCCGGAGAAAAUCCGGAUUAAUACCCCAUAAGAUAUUAGAGUGGCAUCACUUAGAUAUUAAAACUCCGGUGGACAGGGAUGAGCGUGCGUCCCAUUAGCUAGUUGGUAGGGAAUAGCCUACCAAGGCGACGAUGGGUAGCUGGUGUGAGAGCACGACCAGCCACACGGGCACUGAGACACGGGCCCGACUCCUACGGGAGCAGCAGUGAGGAAUAUUGGUCAAUGGACGCAAGUCUGAACCAGCCAUGCCGCGU
RNAcentral lists this ribosomal RNA (374 nucleotides) under uncultured bacterium. Its description in RNAcentral is "bacterial SSU rRNA". It matches the Rfam family "Bacterial small subunit ribosomal RNA", at positions 28 to 402 of the family's 1533-position model. The record is from RNAcentral.